AACGAACGCUGGCGGCAUGCCUAACACAUGCAAGUCGAACGCGCCCUUCGGGUCUAGUGGCGCACGGGUGCGUAACGCGUGUGAACCUGCCCUUAGGUUCGGAAUAACUCCCCGAAAGGGGUGCUAAUACCGGAUAAUGUCUUCGGACCAAAGAUUUAUCGCCUUUGGAUGUGGCCACGUUGGAUUAGCUAGUUGGUAGGGUAAACGCCUACCAAGGCGAAGAGCCAUAGCUGGUCUGUGAGGAUGAUCAGCAACACCGGGACUGAGACACGGACCACAUUCUUAGGGGAGGAAGAAGGGGGGAAUAUGGGACAAUGGGCGAAAGAAUGAGGCAGCAAGGCCGCGAAAGUGAGGAAGGCGUUAGGGUUGUAAAGCUCUGUGAACCGGGAAGAUAAUGACAGUACCGGGAGAAUAAGCGACGGCUAACUACGUG
This 433-nucleotide ribosomal RNA is filed under the name uncultured bacterium. RNAcentral describes it as "partial 16S ribosomal RNA". It matches the Rfam family "Bacterial small subunit ribosomal RNA", at positions 29 to 507 of the family's 1533-position model. The record is from RNAcentral.